RNAcentral lists this ribosomal RNA (460 nucleotides) under uncultured bacterium. RNAcentral describes it as "partial 16S ribosomal RNA". It matches the Rfam family "Bacterial small subunit ribosomal RNA", at positions 338 to 795 of the family's 1533-position model. The record is from RNAcentral.
CCUACGGGUGGCAGCAGUGAGGAAUAUUGGUCAAUGGACGCAAGUCUGAACCAGCCAUGUCGCGUGCAGGAAGACGGCCCUAUGAGUUGUAAACUGCUUUUGUACGAGGGUAAACGCAGAUACGCGUAUCUGUCUGAAAGUAUCGUACGAAUAAGGAUCGGCUAACUCCGUGCCAGCAGCCGCGGUAAUACGGAGGAUUCAAGCGUUAUCCGGGUUUAUUGGGUUUAAAGGGUGCGUAGGCGGUCGGAUAAGUUAGCGGUUAAAUCCCGGGGCUCAACUCCGGAAAUGCCUUUGAUACUGGUCGGCUAGAGAGUAGUAGCGGUAGGCGGAAUGUAUGGUGUAGCGGUGAAAUGCUUAGAGAUCAUACAGAACACCGAUUGCGAAGGCAGCUUACCGGGCUACUACUGACGUUGAGGCACGAAAGCGUGGGGAGCAAACAGGAUUAGAUACCCGUGUAGUC